This 1708-nucleotide unclassified non-coding RNA is filed under the name Hevea brasiliensis (rubber tree). The record is from RNAcentral. Lineage: Eukaryota; Viridiplantae; Streptophyta; Magnoliopsida; Malpighiales; Euphorbiaceae.
UUUUGCCCCUGCCCCAAAGUGUUAACAAAAACACAGAGGAAAAAAAUGGAAAGCAGCAGCAACAAGGAGCAAGUAGUGGAUGUGCAAUCAGUAGUGGAAGCUAUUUUCACCGAUGACGAUGAUGCCCCUCUCUACCAGGUUGAAAGCCUCUGUAUGCAUUGCGGUGAAAAUGGAGUAACGAGGCUUUUAUUGACACUAAUCCCACACUUCAGAAAGAUCUUGUUAUCGGCCUUUGAAUGUCCACACUGUGGUGAGAGGAACAAUGAAGUCCAGUUUGCUGGUGAAAUCCAGCCACGAGGCUGUUGUUAUCGCUUGGAGGUGUCAUCAGGCGAUCAGAAGGUGCUUAAUAGACAAGUAAUAAAAUCUGAAUCUGCCACCAUAAAGAUUCCUGAAUUGGAUUUUGAAAUUCCUCCAGAGGCACAACGUGGCAGUUUAUCAACAGUGGAAGGGAUUUUGGCACGAGCUGCGGAUGAAUUAGAAGCACUUCAAGAAGAGCGGAAGAAAGUUGAUCCUCAGACUGCUGAAGCAAUUGACCGGUUUUUAUUGAAAUUGAAAGCUUGUGCAACUGGAGAUUCAUCUUUCACCUUCAUCCUAGAUGAUCCUGCUGGAAACAGCUUCAUUGAGAAUCCGUUUGCUCCAUCCUCGGAUCCAUCGUUGACUAUUAAGUUUUAUGAGCGAACUCCAGAGCAACAGGUGUCAUUGGGAUAUUUAGUGGAACCAAUUCAAUUGGGAGAAUCUGGCAACAGACCACCAUCAGAGGUGACAGGCAGUGUUUCUGAACAAAAAAGAGAACCUCAUGGAUCAGUUGGAGCAGUGGCUGGUCAUCGGGCCAUUGCUCAGAGUAACAAUGCAGAAAUUGCAGAUGCUAUCUUUCGGUACUCUGCACCAGAAGAGGUGAUGACUUUCCCAUCAAGUUGUGGAGCUUGUGCCAGCAGGUGUGAGACACGAAUGUUUGUCACCAAAAUUCCAUACUUCCAAGAAGUAAUUGUCAUGGCAUCCACUUGUGAUGCCUGUGGUUAUCGCAAUUCUGAGUUGAAACCUGGUGGGCCAAUUCCUGAAAAAGGAAAGAGAAUCACUCUACAUGUGAAGAACAUUAAUGACCUAAGCCGAGAUGUAAUAAAGUCAGAUACUGCAAGCGUGAAAGUCCCAGAGCUUGAGUUGGAGCUGGCUAGUGGUACAUUGGGGGGAGUUGUUACAACUGUUGAAGGUUUAAUUACAAAAAUUAGUGAAAGCCUUGAGAGAGUGCAUGGGUUUACCUUUGGAGAUAGUCUCGAUGAACAUAAAAAAAACAAGUGGCAAGACUUUAAAGCAAGGCUGACCAAGCUUUUGAAUGUGGAAGAGCCAUGGACCUUAAUUCUUGAUGAUGGAUUAGCAAAUUCUUUUAUUGCACCAGCAACUGAUGAUAUCAAGGAUGACCAUCAAUUACUAUUUGAGGAAUAUGGGAGGUCCUGGGAGCAAAAUGAGGAGUUGGGACUGAAUGAUAUUGACACUUCCUCUGCUGAUGCUGCUUAUAACUUGACAGACACUACCUUAAAUCAGAAAACAGAAGAGUAAAUUAUUUUGCUGCCUUAAAAUGUAUAAUUAUUUCAUGUAAUCUUUUUACUCAAAACUUUUGAGGAAAAAAAGAAAAAGAAAUUAUACAAUUUAGUCAUGUUUUAAAAUAUUUGUAUCGUAGCUGAUGUUGUGUUACGUAGGACUUUUUGUGCAC